This is a long non-coding RNA of Neofelis nebulosa (Clouded leopard), 2050 nucleotides long. RefSeq lists it as uncharacterized. Lineage: Eukaryota; Metazoa; Chordata; Mammalia; Carnivora; Felidae. The record is from RefSeq and is a predicted model, not a curated record. The transcript has 5 exons.
AACGAACCGAAGGACUGGAGGAAAGAUUUCAGAACAAAAGCUUAGCUCCACCAUGAACCUGCCAUCCCUCCUCCAGACUCCACACGGAGGAGCAUAUGCUGUGAAGAAAGCGUGCACUUCAGAGUACAGAUGAGCCAGGAAGGGAGAACCUGCUGUUCCCGGAAGUCUUCCCGAGUGGGAGCAUCUCACGGGGCUGAGUGUAAGGCAGGUAUUCAAAGAUGCAUAUUGUUCAUGCAACACAGACCUAAUAUGCGAGCUAACAACUCCAUUCGGUGUUUAACGAAAGAAACAGUGGUUCCGUUCCGGAGCUGGAGGACAAACUAUUGGACUUUGAAAGACACUGCUGGUCUCUAAAAUGAUGUCAUGUGAACCGUUUUGUGUGCAGUUUAAAGGUUGUUCAUUUUUCUGCAUAAAAUUGAACAUAACACACAACUCCAUUAUAAACCCUAUCUGAACAUCUGGGGUUUUGUGGUUUCCCUGUUAUCAUGAAUCAUCAUGUAUCUUUUCUCUGCAGAAGCUGCUUUAUAUGUAAACUAUAACCGUGUUUAUUUACUUGGUGUAAUAGUGAUUAGGAUAAACAAUGUAGAAUGUGCUGGAAUCUGCACAGGAGGUGCAUAAAUGCUGGGACCAAGCAAAAGCUGCAGACAGAGCUCAUCGUGUCAGCUCUGAUUUACAUCAUCACAUUUAAAUGCAAGAAGGAAUGUUGACUCUAAAGAAAAUCAAAUACAUUAAAACAGAGCUCUUUGCAUUUUUAGGACCAUAGACCAAAUAAUCCUGAAAUCUAUAUCUUGUUGAAAUGUCCUUGAUAGAAAAGCGAGAGAUUCUGCCUAAUCUAGGAAUUGAGAAAAAGAGAAAUAAAUCCAGAUACUAAAGGACAGAAAAGAAAAUGCUAUAUAAUGAUUUUAUGAUACAGAAAUAUUUUUACUCCAGAAGUACAUUUUAAAAUCCCAUUGAAAAUGCCAUGUAAAAUUGAAUUGCCCUCAGACUUUGAAAAAUAAUGUGGAGAAUGGCUAGAAUUUCAAGGUGGGAAAUAGCUUGCUUUGUAGCAACCCAAUUUCAUAGCUAAACUGUAUAUGAGACACCUUUCUGAGGUUUCUACUAUCUUUAAGAGACUUACAUGUUGUUAUCAGUUCCAUUUAAAGUACUUACUUAUUAACACGGCUCUUGGAAAAUCCAGAAUGGUUGAACAACAGCAGAUUUGAAUUUUAUUAUUUUGCUUUGUAAAAAAAAAAAAAUGCCAGCUGAGAAAGAGAUCAAGUAUAAACUUUCAUUAGAGCAGUUUAUGUUUAUUCUAAAGUCUCUAGAAUGUUAACAUGCUCCAAGCUCUAUGUUAAGUCAAGGGAAGACCUUUCAGAAGCAGCGAACCAAUGUGUUUUCUACAAGGCAUAAAUCCAAUUUUUUCUUGAAAACAUUAAAGCACAUUGGAAAACCAUUCCCCUUAUUUCUUUAACUGGAAAAAGCUGCAUUUGAGAAACUCACUUUACUCAGACAGAAGUAAUGUGACAUAAAGAUCUGAUCUGGGGAGGACAGAAGAACUCAUAUCGUGAGGUGGACUCCACAUUGCCAUUGGUGUUCCCAAGUCCAUUACAUCUGGUUUCUUGUAAUGAAAAAGGCGAACUCUCGGCACCAUGAUUGAUUUGUCUUCCAUUCUAACCUCACAGACUCUGGCCCAUAAUAAAGAGAUUGAGAAUUGGACAAGCCCAGCUUCCGUGCUAUCAAAUCUACAAUGGGAUGCCUGGAAAAAUUGAGCUGUAUCUAUAGAAGGGAAAAUGAACAGGCCACAGCACAACUAAUCUGCUCAAUUCUACUGUUGCAAAGAUUGAUGGAGACCAUUGUGUGAUCAAUUUGGUCAUGACACUGGGUAUCAGUCAUGAGCAUGACUGAAAUGAAUGGAAUCACUUUACUCCAAUCUGGUCUGCUUUCAUUGUGUAAACUUAGCUGGUCCUGAGGACUUGGGGUCAGGGAAAUCAGCACUACACUUAAGUCUACUAACCUUCCUGAGAUCAUUUAUUAGCAAAAAAUCAGCAUAUUCAUGCAUAUUAGUUAUUAU